UUCCGGUUGAUCCUGCCGGAGAUCACUGCUAUUGGGAUUCGACUAAGCCAUGCGAGUCGAGAGGGUUCGGCCCUCGGCUGACGGCUCAGUAACACGUGGAUAAUCUGCCCUUAGGUGGAGGAUAAUCUCGGGAAACUGAGGAUAAUACUCCAUAGAUCUAGGAUGUUGGAAUGCAUCUAGAUUGAAAGCUCCGGCGCCUAAGGAUGAGUCUGCGGGCUAUCAGGUUGUAGUCAGGGUAAAGACCUGACUAGCCUACGACGGAUACGGGUUGUGAGAGCAAUAACCCGGAGACGAUAUCUGAGACACGAUAUCGGGCCCUACGGGGCGCAGCAGGCGCGAAAACUUCACACUGUGCGAAAGCGCGAUGAGGGAAUCCCAAGUGUUUGCUCGUAAGAGUAAACUGUUUCUUUGUUUAAAACGCAGAGAGAGUAAGGGCUGGGUAAGACGGGUGCCAGCCGCCGCGGUAAUACCUGCAGCUCGAGUGGUGAUCAUUAUUAUUGGGCCUAAAACGUCCGUAGCCGGUUUAGUAAAUGCCUGGGUAAAUCGUGUAGCUUAACUAUACGACUUCCGGGUAGACUGCUAAACUUGAGACCGGGAGAGGCUAGAGGUACUCCUGGGGUAGAGGUGAAAUUCUGUAAUCCUAGGGGGACCACCAGUGGCGAAGGCGUCUAGCUAGAACGGGUCUGACGGUGAGGGACGAAGCCCUGGGGCACAAACCGGAUUAGAUACCCGGGUAGUCCAGGGUGUAAACGCUGCUUGCUUGAUGUUAGUUGGGCUCCGAGCCCAACUAGUGUCGGAGAGAAGUUGUUAAGCAAGCUGCCUGGGAAGUACGGUCGCGAGGCUGAAACUUAAAGGAAUUGGCGGGGGAGCACAGCAACGGGUGGAGCGUGCGGUUUAAUUGGAUUCAACGCCGGG
RNAcentral lists this ribosomal RNA (915 nucleotides) under uncultured archaeon. RNAcentral's name for it is "bacterial SSU rRNA". It matches the Rfam family "Archaeal small subunit ribosomal RNA", at positions 1 to 922 of the family's 1478-position model. The record is from RNAcentral.